AUAUAACUUAAAAACAAAAUAUGUGUAAAACAAAUUACUAUAGAAAACAAUUCAUAAAAAUAAAAAUAAAUAACAUAUUCCGUUGCUACAAGUACCAAAAUGAAGUGGUCACACUGUAGAAUUCGAAUCCGAUGAAAAAAUACUGAUAAAACAGUCCGUCCCAUAUCUGGCAAUCACUUGUUAAAUAUACCGAUAGUGUGAGACCCAAAUUUGGUACUCGUAAAUUUACUUUUGUAUAUUGUUGAGACCCAAAUUUGGGACUCAUGGCCAAAUUGAGUAACAAGUCGAAAACCCCUCGGCGCUCAACGUGUUAAUAUCUAAUUAGUAACAUUUAUAAUUACAUUUUUCUAGAUGUGAUUUCGAAUUAUGGAAACAGGAAAUAUGGACCUGUGGACGAAUACUGUAUUGCUAUGACCAGUGAUGAAUUCAAUAAUCCAAAUAUUCCUAUAGAAUAUUUUAAAAUAAUAUUUAAUGACGUCAUACCAAAAAAUAUAUUUUCUAAUGCUGAGGAUUCCCAAUCGGGGAAAUUCCUUCCCAAAGAAGAAAUUAAAGUCUACUUGGGCCCACGGGGGGAUAUAGUGAUGAUGGGAUUACAAAAAUAUUUAUAUUAUUUUUAAAUGUUUAAAAUGGAAAUUACUAUAUUAGUUUCCCGAUUAUCGGGCAUCGAUAAAAAUUAUACAUUAUUAAUUUUUCAUUAUAUUUACUUAUAUUAUUUAUAUUUUUUAUUAAUAUUUUUGUGAUUAUAGUCAAUCAUCUUCUCUUA
This is a long non-coding RNA of Rhopalosiphum padi (bird cherry-oat aphid), 763 nucleotides long. RefSeq lists it as uncharacterized. Lineage: Eukaryota; Metazoa; Arthropoda; Insecta; Hemiptera; Aphididae. The record is from RefSeq and is a predicted model, not a curated record. The transcript has 2 exons.